This 450-nucleotide ribosomal RNA is filed under the name uncultured Glomeromycotina. RNAcentral describes it as "SSU rRNA". It matches the Rfam family "Eukaryotic small subunit ribosomal RNA", at positions 569 to 1023 of the family's 1831-position model. Lineage: Eukaryota; Fungi; Glomeromycota. The record is from RNAcentral.
AGCAGCCGCGGUAAUUCCAGCUCCAAUAGCGUAUAUUAAAGUUGUUGCAGUUAAAAAGCUCGUAGUUGAAUUUCGGGAUCAAUAUGUCGGUCGUGCCAUUGGUACGUACUGGUAUCAUUGAUUUCUCCUUUCUGACGAACCAUGAUGUCAUUAAUUUGGUGUUAUGGGGAGUUAGGACUGUUACUUUGAAAAAAUUAGAGUGUUUAAAGCAGGCAUUAGCUUGAAUACAUUAGCAUGGAAUAAUGAAAUAGGACGUUUGACCCUAUUUUGUUGGUUUCUAGGAUCGACGUAAUGAUUAAUAGGGAUAGUUGGGGGCAUUAGUAUUCAAUUGUCAGAGGUGAAAUUCUUGGAUUUAUUGAAGACUGACUACUGCGAAAGCAUUUGCCAAGGAUGUUUUCAUUAAUCAAGAACGAAAGUUAGGGGAUCGAAGACGAUCAGAUACCGUCGUAG